Molecule: long non-coding RNA, 1755 nt
Organism: Bombus huntii
Lineage: Eukaryota; Metazoa; Arthropoda; Insecta; Hymenoptera; Apidae
Exons: 2
Source: RefSeq, a predicted model, not a curated record
UCUUUCUCGAUCCUUAAAGUUUACACAGGCUCAUGUUCUGUUCAUCAUAUCAUCACCGACAUCACCCUGUGCAACGUUGCCACUUUUAUGGCCCGUAUUUCAAAUUUCUACUUCUUUUGUUGCAUUGUGCCAUUGAAUGUUCAUGAGAAUGAACUGUAUCGAAAAAGCAUAGCAACUGAUAUUUUACAUUAUUUAAUGCUAUAAAUUCAUGUUAGAAAAUUUUACUAAACUUAUUGAUCAAUUAUAAACACUUAAUCACUUCAUUUUAUUAUAUACGGUGGUCAUUUAUUAAAUUUUAAUUACUGAAAAUUAAGAACCUUCCAUAUACAACGUUAUAAGACUUUGAUUCUCAAUCCAGUAAUAAUACUUUAAUACUAUUAUGUAAGGUUAGUUUAUACAGAUCACUAAACCGGUUUGUUAAAUUGUAUACUGGAAAUCUGUAAUGGACCUUUUCCUCUUAUUUUCAGAACACAUACUCUUUUAAUGUCCUUAUUUAAAAGAAACGUGAAAUCAAUGCUGACAUGGAAAUGCUUUACAAUGAUUGAAAUAUGUUUAUAGAAGAUAAAUAUGACAGUUUUUUUACGUGUUUCGGUCUACAAAAACAAGUUUCAAGGUACGGAAUCCAUUGAUUUGAGAGCCGUAAGUAUAUGAAGUCAAGCAUCUUGAGCGUAUUUGACAGGUUACUUGGACGUCAUAUUGACUUCUAGCCACGAUUUGUCUAGUGAAUGUUGUUGCUGGCUGUAAAUAAAUGCACGUGGAUGACAACCAUUUUGCGGCGGGAUUAUAAAUCGUGAUUCAAAUUAUUACUUAUUAAUUUGAUAUCGGAUUAGAUAUGGGUGAUAGUUUACUUGCCGACCAGUUAUAACCAUGAAGAUAUAAAGAUAAAGUGUGUGAGUGGGCUGAAAAAGUGAUAUAGGAAUAGAAAAAGAAGGCUGCUACAGACUCCCUGUGUCUUUAUUUAAUCGUGCACAUUCGUACAAUAAAUAUGCAAGUGUAACACCGAUUAACGAGUGGUUUUAGCGUACAUGCCUGAUUAGAGAAGGGCAAAAGAGGUCUCUAUGCAGCGUUCUCUUUCUAUUCCCAUAUUCUUACAGACUUCUGUGCAUAUUCCAUUCAUUUACAUGAAAACAUAUUCACCCGUACUCUAUCUUUAUAUCUCUAAUUUCCUGCGAACUUUAGUUCAAUGCUCAUCUGUGCGAACCAGUCAUAAGAUGGAUAGAAGCCAAUAUGGCGUUGAAGUCAGAAAUUACAAAAUUACAAGGAAAGUCAAUCAUUUUGCAUCCUCUAAGGUAAAGAUUGCAUUUAUCACGUUUGAAAACGACGUAAUCAAAGGUAGGAGAAGAAAAAGUGGGAAAACACAACGGAAGUUGGUGUGCAAGGAAGACAGUUUCAACCAAAUAUAAUUCAUUACUUCUUUACAAUAAAAGUUAAAAAUUGUUUUUUCAAACCUAGAGUGAUUGUACAAAUCGCUAUAUAUUUGUACUAUUUAGAUGUUAUUUGGUAUUUGAAAUGUUUAAUCGAAAGGCACAAUUUCUGUAUAAUUUAUGUAAAUUCUAUAAACUUGUGUAAAUUAGUAACAAUUUACGAACAAUUUAACAAUUUUGAAACAUCAAAAAAUGUUAUAUUUAUAUGAUUGUUAAAACAAUGCAUUACAGAGAUAACAUACCAAUAUCAAAAGUUACGUCCUGACUUCGUUGGCUUGCCAAAUCUUUGAGAAACACUAUUAUCAAUAUUAUCAUACAAAACUCAAUCAUA